This 248-nucleotide long non-coding RNA is filed under the name Elaeis guineensis (African oil palm). RNAcentral describes it as "long non-coding RNA (EGUI_LNC041207)". Lineage: Eukaryota; Viridiplantae; Streptophyta; Magnoliopsida; Arecales; Arecaceae. The record is from RNAcentral.
GGAGGAGUCUUGAGGACACUGUGGAAGGUCGAACGUUGGAGGAGUCUGGGAUUCAAUUCUGCUGUAGAAGUUCGGACGAAGUCCGACUUUUGUAGGAGUUUGGAUGAAGUCCGCUUGCUGUAGAAGCUCGGACGAAGAUCGGUUGCCGUGGAAGCUUUGAUGGAGGCUUCUUAUUGUAGAAGUUCGGAUGAAAUCUGCUUGCAAUAGAAGUUCAGAGUAGAGAUCUGACUGGUGGAGCCCAUCCGUUA